ACUCAAAGGAAUAGACGGGGGCCCGCACAAGCGGUGGAGCAUGUGGUUCAAUUCGAAGCAACGCGAAGAACCUUACCAGGCCUUGACAUCCCGGUCGCGGGUCCCUGAAAGGGGACCUUUCAGUUCGGCUGGACCGGUGACAGGUGCUGCAUGGCUGUCGUCAGCUCGUGUCGUGAGAUGUUGGGUUAAGUCCCGCAACGAGCGCAACCCUCGCCCUUAGUUGCCAUCAUUCAGUUGGGCACUCUAAGGGGACUGCCGGUGAUAAGCCGCGAGGAAGGUGGGGAUGACGUCAAGUCCUCAUGGCCCUUACGGCCUGGGCCACACACGUGCUACAAUGGCGGUGACAAUGGGCAGCAAUGGCGCAAGCCUGAGCUAAUCUCAAAAAGCCGUCUCAGUUCGGAUUGGAGUCUGCAACUCGACUCCAUGAAGUUGGAAUCGCUAGUAAUCGCGGAUCAGCACGCCGCGGUGAAUACGUUCCCGGGCCUUGUACACACCGCCCGU
This 501-nucleotide ribosomal RNA is filed under the name uncultured bacterium. RNAcentral describes it as "partial 16S ribosomal RNA". It matches the Rfam family "Bacterial small subunit ribosomal RNA", at positions 899 to 1397 of the family's 1533-position model. The record is from RNAcentral.